This 2059-nucleotide long non-coding RNA is filed under the name Lupinus angustifolius (narrow-leaved blue lupine). Its description in RNAcentral is "long non-coding RNA (LANG_LNC001937)". The record is from RNAcentral. Lineage: Eukaryota; Viridiplantae; Streptophyta; Magnoliopsida; Fabales; Fabaceae.
ACUAAUCCAUGUUGAUUUCAUUUUUUAAAGCUAGGAUGCUAAAGCACCCCGAGAAAUUUAUUAAAGAAAGACAAAAGGAAACAUUACAUAUUGGAGAAUCUAUAGUUGGGAAGCCACAAAGAUUGGAUCCCAUAAAGAUUAGACCAGGGAUUGAAUCCCACCAAGUAAAAGUUCUAGAUUGGAUCCCAUGGUUAGCUAGCAAAUCCAUACAAGAAUUUCCUUCCCUAAAGAUAUGAGAAAUUAUCCACCAAUUGCCUAGGAAUUGUCCAUUUACCCGGAUGAAUGAAGUCAGCCACAUUGUCCUUAAGGUCAGAUAUAAGAGCCAAAGGGAUGUUCAAGCCCCCAUAUGUUGUUGUUUUAAAAAUAUUGAUGAGGGGUACCUGCACAUCACCUAAAAAAUUGAUAACAACAAUAAAGGUUUCUUAACUAGUGGGUAUUCACUCUAGUAGUUCCAACUUUUUUUUGUGUUUUUAAUUUUUAAACGUAAAAAACAGAAAAAUAAUUUAAAGGAUGAACAAAAAUAAAAUAAAAUUUAUACAAAAGUGAAAGAAAAUUGUAUUUACAAUUACUAAUGACAAGAAAUAUAAGUAAGAAUUUCUAUUAUCUUGUAAUUCCCCGGCAACGGCGUCAAUGUUUUGAAAAUUUUAUUUGAGGUUUUCCCUUCUCAACAAAUUGUCCCCGACAAUGGCGCUAAUUUGUUGAAAGAGUUUUACUGCUUGCUUGAUUGAGGCAACAAGUUUCUGAUUGUUUUUAUUUAAUGACAGGUCAAUUCUUUGCUCCGCCAUCUCGGCUUUGUUGAAAUAAAUUCUAAUGUUGAUAUAAUGGUUUUGAAGAAUGUUCCUUUAAUAAAAAACUUAACUUUAUUGAAUUAUUAACAAUUUCAUAUCAUCUCAGCUUUGUUGGAAUAAAUUCCAACCAAGGUUUAAUGAUAUGAAUUUAGCAAAUUAAUACAACAAGUGAUUAUGAGUGAUAUUUAAUUAGUUAGUGACUUUAUUUAUUUACUCAUUUUUCGGGUUCCUUUUAACCAUACCAUAAAGGUCGAUCUCAUUUUAUUAAAUUAACCAUACCAUUUUUAUGAAAGGUUGGUAUCAAAGAAUAAUAAAAUGACAAAAGAAUAAAGUUAGAAGUUAACCGUACCACUUCUUUCAAAGGGUUGGUAUAAAGAAUAAAUAAAGCAAUAAAUAAUUAGUUGCAGAAAUUAAAUUAUAGGGUUAUGUCGAACGAUAAGGAAUUUCCUAAUAUAAAUACAUUCAUACUUUGUGUCUUUUAUCAAAAGUAAUAAAGUAAAAAUUAAAGUUGUUUUUGUGAUUUUAUGAAUUAAGAAACAUGAAAAAGUAAAGAACUAACUAUUUACAAAUUCAAGAAGGGAAAAUUGAUUUGAAAGAUUGAAUUAUUUCUUGACUCAAAUGAUUAUGAAAAUAUUACAAGUUAUGUGUUAUACUUUCGGUUAAUUCCACACACCAUUUCUAAAUCCUUCAUCUAGUGUCCUAGAAUGAUAAGAUGAUUUUCAAACAUAUAUAAUACACUAAAAAAUAGUUAAGUGUCACUUGUCAAAGUAGGUUGUCACACCCUACUUCAGGCUCCAUUAACAUUAUUUAGCCUUGAACAUAAGUUGCUUAAAAUAGAUGCUUGAGGUGGCAAGUUAACUAAGGUGUAGCUUACACUUUUUAGUUCACUUGUCAACAAUUUAAGAAGAAGCAUUUUGGAUCUUUAAAUCUAGUUUUAUGUGAUCAAGCUAAAACUGCAUUAAGAACUUCAUAAAGAAUCAAAACUUAACCAAAAAGUAAUAACUUGAAUGUAUUGAAAUCAAAACAAGAUACAAAUGAAGAAAGGAAAUAAUGUUAUACCAUAAUCCAAGUCAAUAUGUAGGAGCAUGAGCCAUCUAUCCAAGGAUGAGAUGCUUUUGAUUCCAAAUGAGGUUGCAAAAUCAUGUUUUUGCACCUCAUUUGUCAACUGCAUUCCCUUUGAACUUCUAUGAACGAAAAGCCUAAGAACAACCUAAAAACACUCUCAAAUGAGAGAGAAGUGAAAAUGAAAGAAAGUAGAAGAGAUUACAAAG